RNAcentral lists this ribosomal RNA (499 nucleotides) under uncultured bacterium. RNAcentral describes it as "partial 16S ribosomal RNA". It matches the Rfam family "Bacterial small subunit ribosomal RNA", at positions 899 to 1397 of the family's 1533-position model. The record is from RNAcentral.
ACUCAAAUGAAUUGACGGGGGCCCGCACAAGCGGUGGAUGAUGUGGAUUAAUUCGAUGCAACGCGAAAAACCUUACCUACCCUUGACAUGUCAGGAAUCCAUCAGAGACGGUGGAGUGCCCGAAAGGGAACCUGAACACAGGUGCUGCAUGGCUGUCGUCAGCUCGUGUCGUGAGAUGUUGGGUUAAGUCCCGCAACGAGCGCAACCCUUGUCCUUAGUUGCUACCAUUAAGUUGAGCACUUUAAGGAGACUGCCGGUGACAAACCGGAGGAAGGUGGGGAUGACGUCAAGUCCUCAUGGCCCUUAUGGGUAGGGCUUCACACGUCAUACAAUGGUCGGUACAGAGGGUUGCCAAGCCGCGAGGUGGAGCCAAUCUCAGAAAGCCGAUCGUAGUCCGGAUCGUAGUCUGCAACUCGACUACGUGAAGUCGGAAUCGCUAGUAAUCGCGGAUCAGCAUGUCGCGGUGAAUACGUUCCCGGGCCUUGUACACACCGCCCGU